This 30-nucleotide non-coding RNA is filed under the name Rattus norvegicus (Norway rat). Lineage: Eukaryota; Metazoa; Chordata; Mammalia; Rodentia; Muridae. The record is from RNAcentral.
GAAAAGUGGUGAAAUUGAACUGUGCUGGGU